GCGAGCCGUGUGCAUUGAGAGGUGCAAGCACGGUUUUGGGAGGGGGCUGCGCAGACCUACCAUAGAAAUGUGGCAAGGCGGCGCUUUCCUACUCUAC
Lachnospiraceae bacterium A4 is the source of this 97-nucleotide non-coding RNA. The record is from Rfam. NCBI's taxonomy places the organism in Bacteria, Bacillati, Bacillota, Clostridia, Lachnospirales, Lachnospiraceae.